CUCUAAACACACCCUCUCUACAACCAGUACACACACUACGUCACCUAUACACACACACUUCAGCCCGUAUGCACACACUCGCUACAUCCCCUAUAAAACUAUGCCCCCUAUACACACACUCUCUACAGCCCCUAGCCACACAUAUUACACCACAAACACAAAUGAAAUUGACCUAUUUACACAAUACCACACCACACUCUACACACACGCAAUCCCACAAGCAGGCUCCAAACAUAUGCACCAUGCACUUUCCUGGCC
This 258-nucleotide long non-coding RNA is filed under the name Pelobates cultripes (western spadefoot toad). The record is from RNAcentral. Lineage: Eukaryota; Metazoa; Chordata; Amphibia; Anura; Pelobatidae.